RNAcentral lists this ribosomal RNA (293 nucleotides) under uncultured bacterium. Its description in RNAcentral is "partial 16S ribosomal RNA". It matches the Rfam family "Bacterial small subunit ribosomal RNA", at positions 775 to 1067 of the family's 1533-position model. The record is from RNAcentral.
GGAUUAGAUACCCUGGUAGUCCACGCCCUAAACGAUGUUAACUCGUUAUUCGGUCGUAGAUUGAGUGACUAAGGGAAACCGAUAAGUUAACCACCUGGGGAGUACGUUGGCAACAAUGAAACUCAAAGGAAUUGACGGGGGCCCGCACAAGCGGUGGAGCAUGUGGUUUAAUUCGAAGCAACGCGCAGAACCUUACCAGCCCUUGACAUCCCGGUCGCGGUCCUUGGAGACGAGGACUUUCAGUUCGGCUGGACCGGAGACAGGUGCUGCAUGGCUGUCGUCAGCUCGUGCCG